CUGCAAGCUCCGCCUACGAGAUUCUGGUGAGUCUUGUGCCUCACCCUCCCAAGUAGGUGGGAUUACAGGCGCCCACCACCACAUAAUUUGUGUGUGUCUAUAUAUAUGUAUAUAUAUGUAUAUAUGUAUAUACGUGUAUAUAUACAUAUAUAUGUAUAUAUAUAGACACAUACACGUUUUGGGGUUUUUUUGUUUUGUUUUGUUUUUCUUGAGACGGAGUCUCGCUCUGUUGCCAGGUGAGUACUGUGGCGUGAUCUCGGCUCACUGUAAUCUCCGCUUCCCGGGUUCAAGCAAUUCUCCUGCUUCAGCCUCUGGAGUAGCUGGGACUACAGGUGCGCGCCACCAAGCCCAGCUAAUUUUUGUAUUUUUAGUAGAGAUGGGGUUUCACCAUGUUGGCCAGGAUGGUCUCAAUUUAUUGACUUUGUGAUCUGCCCACCUCGGCCUCCCAAAGUGCUGGGUUUACAGGCAUGAGCCCCAGCGUCCAGCCCCAUCUGCAUUUCUGUGAUGUCUUUGUAAGUUCUGGGUCCCAGGCUGGGAGCCGGAAGUUACAGUCUGCUUGCGUCGCUGUUCGACCUGUAGAGGGGACUUAUCUUGCUCUACAAACUUUUUUCUUAUUGGGAGAGUUUUUUGUGAUUGGCUUUUAACCUCUUGUUCUGCUUCUAGUGGAAUCCCCCAAAGAAGGUAAAGGGAGCAAGCCUUCCCCACUGUCUGUGAAGAACACCAAGAGGAGGCUGGAGGGCGCCAAGAAAGCCAAGGCGGACAGCCCCGUGAACGGCUUGCCAAAGGGGCGAGAGAGUCGAAGUCGGAGCCGGAGCCGUGAACAGAGCUACUCAAGGUCCCCAUCCCGAUCAGCGUCUCCUAAGAGGAGGAAAAGUGACAGCGGCUCCACAUCUGGUGGGUCCAAGUCGCAGAGCCGCUCCCGGAGCCGGAGUGACUCCCCACCGAGACAGGCCCCCCGCAGCGCUCCCUACAAAGGCUCUGAGAUUCGGGGCUCCCGGAAGUCCAAGGACUGCAAGUACCCCCAGAAGCCACACAAGUCUCGGAGCCGGAGUUCUACCCGUUCUCGAAGCAGGUCACGGGAGCGUGUGGAUAAUCCGGGAAAAUACAAGAAGAAAAGUCAUUACUACAGAGAUCAGCGACGGGAGCGCUCGAGGUCAUAUGAACGCACAGGCCGUCGCUAUGAGCGGGACCACCCUGGGCACAGCAGGCAUCGGAGGUGAGGCGGGGUUGCAGUGACUGGCGGCCGCAGGCCCUUCCCUGGGGGGUACCUGAUGGCUGCCCUUUGACCCCUGGGUGUGCUCUCUCAGCGCAAGUGGCCCUAGAGCAGGAUUCUUUUUGGAAAUGUCUGUCGACUGGACCUUGGUGGAUUUGGAAAUGGAACUGAGGGACCGGUGACACGUGCUUCAGACCGGUCUGGGGUGUGGCGCACACCUGGGCCCGUGCAGGGCCCAGCUCGGCAGCAGCUCUGAGGGCAGCUCAAUGAAAUAGUGAAUGCACACGCCCUUGUUGGUGUGGCCUGGCAUGGCCUGGCGUGGCCUGGUGCUAUCGGCAGCCGCUCUCCACUCCCUGACUGAUACUCAAUUACGUGAAGCCAAGAAAGACGAUUUUUAGAACCUUUGCCUAUAUUAGGUUGUACUUAUGUACAUAUUUUGCAGUGUUUCACAGGAGAAAAUGGCCUUAAUUGCCCCUUAUUCUCUCUCCACGUUGUAAAUAAACAUGUGUUUAAUACAAGUUAAAGCUAUAUAUGAAAACUCAGAACUUGAAUCCUGUCAGCUUAAAACUUGUGUAGGGAAUCCUGACUUUUAAAAUGUGAGGGUAUUUGGAUCUGUGUUGAAAGUCAUAUAUUUUUAUCUGUGCAGUGCUGAGUGCAGGCCACCAGCUCCUAAAUAGAGGUUCCCUAAAUGCGCGUAUGACAUGGUGAAUAAACACAACUCUCUCCACUCAGGA
RNAcentral lists this small RNA (1947 nucleotides) under Pongo abelii (Sumatran orangutan). RNAcentral's name for it is "retained intron". Lineage: Eukaryota; Metazoa; Chordata; Mammalia; Primates; Hominidae. The record is from RNAcentral.